CCCUUAGAUGUCCUGGGCUGCACGCGCGCUACACUGAUGUGUCCAGUAAGCACCUAACCUAUUCCGAGAGGAGCGGGUAACCUUAGCAAAGCACAUCGUGAUGGGGAUAGAUUAUUGCAAUUAUUAGUCUUGAACGAGGAAUUCCUAGUAAGCACAAGUCAUCAGCUUGUGUUGAUUACGUCCCUGCCCUUUGUACACACCGCCCGUCGCUCCUACCGAUUGAAUGUUCCGGUGAGCUCUUCGGACUGCGCGGUCUGCAGUUUCUGCGUUCCGUGCGGAAAGUUGUGCAAACCUCAACAUUUAGAGGAAGGAGAAGUCGUAACA
This 324-nucleotide ribosomal RNA is filed under the name uncultured eukaryote. Its description in RNAcentral is "partial 18S ribosomal RNA". It matches the Rfam family "Eukaryotic small subunit ribosomal RNA", at positions 1470 to 1796 of the family's 1831-position model. The record is from RNAcentral.